RNAcentral lists this non-coding RNA (21 nucleotides) under Xenopus tropicalis (tropical clawed frog). The record is from RNAcentral. RNAcentral also lists the same sequence under 1 other name. Lineage: Eukaryota; Metazoa; Chordata; Amphibia; Anura; Pipidae.
AAGGUUUCCGUAGGUGAACCU